RNAcentral lists this long non-coding RNA (1054 nucleotides) under Sinocyclocheilus rhinocerous. Its description in RNAcentral is "lncRNA (ENSSRHG00000031312.1)". The record is from RNAcentral. Lineage: Eukaryota; Metazoa; Chordata; Actinopteri; Cypriniformes; Cyprinidae.
UCUAAGCUCCACCCUGAGGGGUCCAGGGGCAGCUACUGGUGGAGGUGGAGGAACAGUGUUGACCUCCACAACAAGAGCUUCUACAGAAGUGCCAGAGUACCUACACUGGAAGAGAAACCUGGACAACAGACGGGGAGCUUAUAGCAUUUGCCAGAGAUGAACGAUUAAGAACAGCAUAGAUCACCUACUCAAAAUGGCUGUCCCUUGUGAUGGAACCAAAUGGUCCCAUCCCCACUUCAUACGAGGAGGUCAUUCUGUUCUCAUACACCACAUAACCACGGUCCUCCUGCAAAUAGCAACACUGUUGGCAUCCAGUCCAUCAUAGGCCAUGAAGAAUAAAACCAUAAGCAGCUACUCACCAUCAUUCUUGUACCACAUGCGGUCACAGGGAACUGGUAUACAGCAAAGGAAGGUGUGGACCCCACAGGACUGCAAGGUGGGUCAUUUCCACCCAGUAGAUGGACUGAAUCCAGACUCAGUCGAGGCAGCGUAACAUCUCUAGCCACCACUACCACAAACUGACCAUCUCUUAUACACUGGACAGUCACUGGAACGAAGGCACAAGACCAGGUUAAUGUCGAGGAUCAGUUUAACUGGGAGCAUAACACCGACUCACUCUUACCUGCCUUCCCAUAGUAACACUGCUGUCCGUUAAAGCAGCAGUUGAUAGCUUCACAUUCAGCACCACUGAUACCAGGUUGUCCACAUUGGAUCUGCUCAUAAUCAGCUACAGCACAUUUGUCCAAAGGCUCUGCCUUCGUCACUUGCUUCUGAAACUGAAACUUCUGAGGAAACUGCUGAUUAGUCUGUUGAGCUGGCUGCUGAAACUUCUGAGGAAACUGCAGAUUAGUUGGUUGAGCUGGCUGCUGAAACCACUGGUCAGUUUGUUGGAACAUCAGAGCUUGAAGAUUUUGAGCUGGAAGAUCCCUUUGUGGAACAGCAUUGCAAAUAGAGCAAACCAAAACACAUAGUGUUUGGAAGUAAAACGAAUGCCAAUUACUUUCCAUUACUACCCAACAAUGCAUAGUUUCAAACUGCCUUGGACUUGUAUUUG